Maylandia zebra (zebra mbuna) is the source of this 805-nucleotide non-coding RNA. NCBI's taxonomy places the organism in Eukaryota, Metazoa, Chordata, Actinopteri, Cichliformes, Cichlidae. The record is from RefSeq and is a predicted model, not a curated record.
GUUUGUGUGACCUUUGACUUCCCAUGAAGUCACUUCCUGUAGCUGCGCGCUAUUUUCCUCAGUCGCCUAGAGGCCCCGCUGAGGAGAGGUGUUCAUGCAGAAGUCCAGUAAAGUGAAGUUGCUGUACUGUUUUGUUUUUAUUUUAAACAGGUAUGUGAGCUCCCUCUUUUAUUUUUGUGUCAUGUGAACUGGUUAUAUCUUCUGUUUGUUUGUGAUUCAUGUUCACUGUUUCAACUUACUGUAAAUAUGUAAAAUUGCCACUGGUAAAUGAAGUCUCCCUAAAGUAUAAUUUUGUUGAUGAGGUAAUUGUCACUAUAUGUUCACGAUGCAGUGCAUUUUUGUUUGUUAUAUAUGAAUAUAAAUACAUUUUAGCAGUAUUAUUUGGUAAUUGGAUUUGUUGUAAUGUUGCACCUCAGUCGCCUAGAGGCCCCGCUGAGGAGAGUUCUGGGAGAAUAAAUCCACCCAGCUGGCAAAGUGAGAGCUGACUCCUCUGGUCAUUCGCACAACACAACGCAGAGAACUAACGGCAAUAAGAGUUUAAGGCCAGACCGGCUACAGUGGUGCCGUGAGCCGGAUCCACACCACUUCAGACUUGCUCAUCGUGGUUCGUGGAGACGCGAUCAACAUCAGUUUGGUCACCAGAGGUUGCUGUAAUGGACAAUUUAAUGUAAGCUCUGAACACAAAUCCCAAGCGUUCGAGGAAACACUUGCACCUUUUUUUUGGACUGUUGUUUACAAGGUAAAUUUAAUUCUGCUGUUUGCAUUGUACAUAUGUUAUAACAAUGGAUGAUGAAAAAGUUUCAAG